Molecule: ribosomal RNA, 524 nt
Filed under: uncultured bacterium
Lineage: Bacteria
Description: partial 16S ribosomal RNA
Rfam family: Bacterial small subunit ribosomal RNA
Source: RNAcentral
GACGAACGCUGGCGGCGUGCCUAAUACAUGCAAGUCGAGCGCAGGAAGCUGACGGAACUCUUCGGAGGGAAGGCAGUGGAAUGAGCGGCGGACGGGUGAGUAACACGUAAGGAACCUGCCUCAAGGAUUGGGAUAACUCCGAGAAAUCGGAGCUAAUACCGGAUAGUUCAUCGGACCGCAUGGUCCGUUGAUGAAAGGCGCUCCGGCGUCACCUUGAGAUGGCCUUGCGGUGCAUUAGCUAGUUGGUGGGGUAACGGCCCACCAAGGCGACGAUGCAUAGCCGACCUGAGAGGGUAAUAGGCCACACUGGGACUGAGACACGGCCCAGACUCCUACGGGAGGCAGCAGUAGGGAAUCUUCCACAAUGGACGAAAGUCUGAUGGAGCAACGCCGCGUGAGUGAUGAAGGUUUUCGGAUCGUAAAACUCUGUUGUAAGGGAAGAACACGUACGAGAGGAAAUGCUCGUACCUUGACGGUACCUUACGAGAAAGCCACGGCUAACUACGUGCCAGCAGCCGCCGUAA